GAUGAACGCUGGCGGCGUGCCUAACACAUGCAAGUCGAGCGAUCUUCUUCGGAAGAGAGCGGCGGACGGGUGAGUAACGCGUGGGUAACCUGCCCUGUACACACGGAUAACAUACCGAAAGGUAUGCUAAUACGAGAUAAUAUGCUUUUAUCGCAUGGUAGAAGUAUCAAAGCUCCGGCGGUACAGGAUGGACCCGCGUCUGAUUAGCUAGUUGGUAAGGUAACGGCUUACCAAGGCGACGAUCAGUAGCCGACCUGAGAGGGUGAUCGGCCACAUUGGAACUGAGACACGGUCCAAACUCCUACGGGAGGCAGCAGUGGGGAAUAUUGCACAAUGGGCGAAAGCCUGAUGCAGCAACGCCGCGUGAGCGAUGAAGGCCUUC
This 382-nucleotide ribosomal RNA is filed under the name uncultured bacterium. RNAcentral describes it as "bacterial SSU rRNA". It matches the Rfam family "Bacterial small subunit ribosomal RNA", at positions 28 to 419 of the family's 1533-position model. The record is from RNAcentral.